RNAcentral lists this ribosomal RNA (914 nucleotides) under uncultured bacterium. RNAcentral describes it as "bacterial SSU rRNA". It matches the Rfam family "Bacterial small subunit ribosomal RNA", at positions 8 to 916 of the family's 1533-position model. The record is from RNAcentral.
AGAGUUUGAUCCUGGCUCAGAUUGAACGCUGGCGGCAUGCCUUACACAUGCAAGUCGAACGGUAGCGCGGACUUCGGUCUGGCGGCGAGUGGCGAACGGGUGAGUAAUGCAUCGGAACGUACCAUUGAGUGGGGGAUAACUAUCCGAAAGGAUAGCUAAUACCGCAUAUUCUGUGAGCAGGAAAGCAGGGGAUCGCAAGACCUUGCGCUCUUUGAGCGGCCGAUGUCAGAUUAGCUAGUUGGUGAGGUAAAGGCUCACCAAGGCUACGAUCUGUAGCGGGUCUGAGAGGAUGAUCCGCCACACUGGGACUGAGACACGGCCCAGACUCCUACGGGAGGCAGCAGUGGGGAAUUUUGGACAAUGGGGGCAACCCUGAUCCAGCCAUGCCGCGUGAGUGAAGAAGGCCUUCGGGUUGUAAAGCCCUUUCGGCCGGGAAGAAAUCGCAGGGGCUAAUAUCCCCUGUGGAUGACGGUACCGGACUAAGAAGCACCGGCUAACUACGUGCCAGCAGCCGCGGUAAUACGUAGGGUGCGAGCGUUAAUCGGAAUUACUGGGCGUAAAGCGUGCGCAGGCGGUUUUUUAAGACAGGCGUGAAAUCCCCGGGCUUAACCUGGGAACUGCGCUUGUGACUGGAAGGCUAGAGUACGGCAGAGGGGGGUGGAAUUCCACGUGUAGCAGUGAAAUGCGUAGAGAUGUGGAGGAACACCGAUGGCGAAGGCAGCCCCCUGGGCCGAUACUGACGCUCAUUCACGAAAGCGUGGGGGGCAAACAGGAUUAGAUACCCUGGUAGUCCACGCCCUAAACGAUGUCAACUAGGUGUUGGGUGGGUAAAACCAUUUAGUACCGUAGCUAACGCGUGAAGUUGACCGCCUGGGGAGUACGGCCGCAAGGUUUAAACUCAAAUGAAUUGACGG